GGUUUACCUGUGUGACUGCGUACCUUUUGUAUAAUGGGUCAGCGACUUAUAUUCUGUAGCAAGGUUAACCGUAUAGGGGAGCCGGAGGGAAACCGAGUCUUAAUUGGGCGUUAAGUUGCAGGGUAUAGACCCGAAACCCGGUGAUCUAGCCAUGGGCAGGUUGAAGGUUGGGUAACACUAACUGGAGGACCGAACCGACUAAUGUUGAAAAAUUAGCGGAUGACCUGUGGCUGGGGGUGAAAGGCCAAUCAAACCGGGAGAUAGCUGGUUCUCCCCGAAAGCUAUUUAGGUAGCGCCUCGUGAAUUCAUCUCCGGGGGUAGAGCACUGUUUCGGCUAGGGGGCCAUCCCGGCUUACCAACCCGAUGCAAACUGCGAAUACCGGAGAAUGUUAUCACGGGAGACACACGGCGGGUGCUAACGUCCGUCGUGAAGAGGGAAACAACCCAGACCGCCAGCUAAGGUCCCAAAGUCAUGGUUAAGUGGGAAACGAUGUGGGAAGGCCCAGACAGCCAGGAUGUUGGCUUAGAAGCAGCCAUCAUUUAAAGAAAGCGUAAUAGCUCACUGGUCGAGUCGGCCUGCGCGGAAGAUGUAACGGGGCUAAACCAUGCACCGAAGCUGCGGCAGCGACACUGUGUGUUGUUGGGUAGGGGAGCGUUCUGUAAGCCUGUGAAGGUGUGUCGUGAGGCAUGCUGGAGGUAUCAGAAGUGCGAAUGCUGACAUAAGUAACGAUAAAGCGGGUGAAAAGCCCGCUCGCCGGAAGACCAAGGGUUCCUGUCCAACGUUAAUCGGGGCAGGGUGAGUCGACCCCUAAGGCGAGGCCGAAAGGCGUAGUCGAUGGGAAACGGGUUAAUAUUCCCGUACUUGGUGUUACUGCGAAGGGGGGACGGAGAAGGCUAUGUUGGCCGGGCGACGGUUGUCCCGGUUUAAGCGUGUAGGUGUGUGUUCCAGGUAAAUCCGGUUCACUUUAACACUGAGGCGUGACGACGAGGCACUACGGUGCUGAAGCAACAAAUGCCCUGCUUCCAGGAAAAGCCUCUAAGCAUCAGGUAACAUCAAAUCGUACCCCAAACCGACACAGGUGGUCAGGUAGAGAAUACCAAGGCGCUUGAGAGAACUCGGGUGAAGGAACUAGGCAAAAUGGUGCCGUAACUUCGGGAGAAGGCACGCUGACACGUAGGUGAAGUGAUUUACUCAUGGAGCUGAAGUCAGUCGAAGAUACCAGCUGGCUGCAACUGUUUAUUAAAAACACAGCACUGUGCAAACACGAAAGUGGACGUAUACGGUGUGACGCCUGCCCGGUGCCGGAAGGUUAAUUGAUGGGGUCAGCGCAAGCGAAGCUCCUGAUCGAAGCCCCGGUAAACGGCGGCCGUAACUAUAACGGUCCUAAGGUAGCGAAAUUCCUUGUCGGGUAAGUUCCGACCUGCACGAAUGGCGUAAUGAUGGCCAGGCUGUCUCCACCCGAGACUCAGUGAAAUUGAACUCGCUGUGAAGAUGCAGUGUACCCGCGGCAAGACGGAAAGACCCCGUGAACCUUUACUAUAGCUUGACACUGAACAUUGAGCCUUGAUGUGUAGGAUAGGUGGGAGGCUUUGAAGCGUGGACGCCAGUCUGCGUGGAGCCGACCUUGAAAUACCACCCUUUAAUGUUUGAUGUUCUAACGUGGACCCGUGAUCCGGGUUGCGGACAGUGUCUGGUGGGUAGUUUGACUGGGGCGGUCUCCUCCUAAAGAGUAACGGAGGAGCACGAAGGUUGGCUAAUCCUGGUCGGACAUCAGGAGGUUAGUGCAAUGGCAUAAGCCAGCUUGACUGCGAGCGUGACGGCGCGAGCAGGUGCGAAAGCAGGUCAUAGUGAUCCGGUGGUUCUGAAUGGAAGGGCCAUCGCUCAACGGAUAAAAGGUACUCCGGGGAUAACAGGCUGAUACCGCCCAAGAGUUCAUAUCGACGGCGGUGUUUGGCACCUCGAUGUCGGCUCAUCACAUCCUGGGGCUGAAGUAGGUCCCAAGGGUAUGGCUGUUCGCCAUUUAAAGUGGUACGCGAGCUGGGUUUAGAACGUCGUGAGACAGUUCGGUCCCUAUCUGCCGUGGGCGCUGGAGAACUGAGGGGGGCUGCUCCUAGUACGAGAGGACCGGAGUGGACGCAUCACUGGUGUUCGGGUUGUCAUGCC
This 2164-nucleotide ribosomal RNA is filed under the name Salmonella enterica subsp. enterica serovar Stanley. Its description in RNAcentral is "partial 23S ribosomal RNA". It matches the Rfam family "Bacterial large subunit ribosomal RNA", at positions 582 to 2730 of the family's 2925-position model. Lineage: Bacteria; Pseudomonadati; Pseudomonadota; Gammaproteobacteria; Enterobacterales; Enterobacteriaceae. The record is from RNAcentral.